This 2051-nucleotide long non-coding RNA is filed under the name Panax ginseng (ginseng). RNAcentral's name for it is "long non-coding RNA (PGIN_LNC011788)". The record is from RNAcentral. Lineage: Eukaryota; Viridiplantae; Streptophyta; Magnoliopsida; Apiales; Araliaceae.
CGCCAUCUUGGCCCAUAACAAAGCAAAAUGUUCAAUAGAAAAUUACAUGUUCAAUAGCAUACUACCAAGAAAAAAGGUUCCUAACAUAAAUAUGACAUUUCAUUUCAUUUUAUUUUUUGGUUUGUUCAGUGCAAAGAUUUUAUAGUGUCGCCUAGUUAUUCUAUGAAAGCAUACAAACUUUUAAAGAGUGAAUUGUUGGGUCUGUACCCUAGUAAUAUGAUUCACUUUUGUUUCUGAUAGAUUUACUUGUAUAUGUCCAAUUGUAAAUCAGAUGUCCCUUAAACAUUUUGAAAGUACAUACUUUACUUAUCAAAAAAGGAAGGAAUAAUCAAAUGAUCAACACAAUAGCUUAAACUUGAGACCAUCCAAAAGCUAUCUACAUAAAACAAACAAAAAAAAAAUCCAUAAAAUGUUUCCAUAACCAAUAGCAUAUAAGAAGAAAUAAUGCAGACAAUUAAAAAAAGAAAACAAAAUAAAAACAUCUUUUGGCAACAAACAAUGAUCCUAAACUAGUAAAGAGAAUUCACCAUGAAACUGGAGUUGGUUGCACAACUACUUUCUUUAGCUGCAGUUACAUAAAGUGCAAAAUGUUAAAUAUGAAAAAAAUAGGAAGAUAGUUAAUCAGGUAGUAAAAUUUAAAGCGAGGAAAACAAAAGUAACAAGUAAUGAGGUAAUUUCUCUAGAUGCUACACCAAAGUUAUGAUGAGGCUAACAGACUUACGCAUGAAAUAGCAGGAUGAAGGAGACAGGUUGAUCCACACCAUAAAAACAUAUGUUAUAUUUGUAUGAAUUUCUAGAGCACAUAACAAUAUCAAGUGACUAAGCGUACAUAUGUUAUAUUCAACAUUCGUAUAACAACCGGUUAUUCACGAUCUACCUGUUUCAUUAAAUGUAUUUUGCUGUACAUUUUAUAUGGCUUUCAAAUCAGGUAUGCAUUUGAUAUCAGGAAACCAAAAAAAUGUGCCAAGAUGAAUAUGCCUUUUAAGAUUAAUAUUUAGACAGUCUAGGCUAAACUUACCUGAUCUGAUCAUAGAGUCCAGAAACAGCUGAUUGAAGUUUUUUGAGCUUAUCAGAAUCAAAAGCUGAUUCUAGUUGAUUUAUAGUUUUGUUGCUAAUUUUGUCUUCUAACCAUAAUGUAUGAAUCAGGUUGAUAUUAGGACAAAAAUUAUCUCUAGCAUUCACAAUAUUCUGUGCAACAAGAAGAGACUAUAACAGAUUGUUACCGACAGACAUUAGCACUAGCAUCACAUGGAAUUUCAAACUAUUAUUAGUCUUCUCUCUUGAUUUUAACGAUUGGAAAAAAGAUCAAAAUCUUGACAUUUUCAGUAAUACAUACUGGGACAUUUCUACGAACAUGUUAACCACAAAUUACUCGGUGAGACAUUUGUACAAACAUGUUAACUGCAAAUUUACUUCAAAAAAUGCAAUAGUUUCCUUUAUUCAUUGGCCAUGGCACAACAAUCCCAAUUCAAAUAUGGAGAAGAAAAAAUAAAGUUAAUAUGCAAAUUUAAUUAUAUAAAAAAGAGCAAAAUUAAUAACAAAUUGAUUCUAAAUAAUGCCCAAAUUUGGUGUGUGAAUAUGAGAUGUGUGAUGUUUGUGUUGUGAGUGUGGGGGUGUUUGUGUGUCAUGUAUGUGAGUGUGAGGAGGGGUGUACCUGCAACAGAAGAGUAGAGGCAGUGCCAAUUAAAUCAAUAAAUAACGUGUUUGUUUGACAUUACAAUUUGUAGAAAAAAAGGUAAUAUGGUUGAUAAUUCUCAAUCUUUGACAUUGUCCUUUUUGAGUUGAAUCAAAAUAGAAAGAGGGGUAAAUCUAAUAUUUUCACUAGUACAAAGUAGUAAAUAGACAACACUUAAACCACAACGUUUUUAUAAAAAGCGUUGUAGUAUUUUUUUUCACAAUGUUUUUUAACAAAACGUUAUAGAUAUAUAUGAAAAAACGUUAUCUAUUUAAAAUGAUAUUUUUUGGUUUUAAUUAGAUAACGUUUUUUUUUUAAAACGUUAUGUACUUAAAAUACACGGAGCAGAGGGAGAAACGAAACACGAAUAGCAAAG